RNAcentral lists this ribosomal RNA (431 nucleotides) under Megalonaias nervosa. RNAcentral's name for it is "partial 28S large subunit ribosomal RNA". Lineage: Eukaryota; Metazoa; Mollusca; Bivalvia; Unionida; Unionidae. The record is from RNAcentral.
UUAGAGGCAAACGGGUGGACCCGCAAUACGUCGACCCGGGGGAUUCAACCAGGCCGUGCGUUCGGGACGCGUGGGGGUUAUGCGGAGCUGUAAAGCCCGUGCCUCUGCGUAGGUCUCCGGGCGGACUGGUGCACUUUCCUCGGGUUGAUUGCCACGACCGGCUCUCCGUGCGGCCACAAGCCUUUGCUGGGAAGGUGACCGUCGGCCCCGCGCCGGCGGUGUUAUAGACCAGCUUGUUCGUUGAGCUCGUCGGAGGGCCGAGGAAGUGUUGCCGUUUCUCAGCCACCCUCCGGCCAUCCUUGCUCGUCACGACUGGGGUGAACUGCUUCGUCAGUGCUCUCCCGACCGCGAGCGUAGGAAGGGCUGGUACGGUGCGAGAAAGCUUCGGGCCAGUGGCGAAUCGGUCGGUCCUCCACCCGACCCGUCUUGAA